RNAcentral lists this ribosomal RNA (155 nucleotides) under uncultured soil bacterium. RNAcentral's name for it is "partial 16S ribosomal RNA". It matches the Rfam family "Bacterial small subunit ribosomal RNA", at positions 26 to 206 of the family's 1533-position model. The record is from RNAcentral.
AGAACGAACGCUGGCGGCAUGCCUAAUACAUGCAAGUCGAACGAACUCUUCGGAGUUAGUGGCGCACGGGUGCGUAACGCGUGGGAAUCUGCCCCUUGGUUCGGAAUAACAGUUGGAAACGACUGCUAAUACCGGAUGAUGACGAAAGUCCAAAG